AUGCACUGGAUUUCUUGGAAGGAACUGACAACACCAAAGUGUAAGGGUGGGAUGGGAUUUCGAGAUCUCCACCUUUUCAACAUAGCACUACUGGGUAAACAAGGCUGGCGCUUGAUCACGAAGCCUAAUACCCUAUGUGCAAGAGUACUCAAGGGCAGGUACUUCCCCGACACAGACUUCAUGCACGCUAGAACUCCAAGUUCUUCCUCCGCCACCUGGAGGGCCAUCAUAGCGGGCAGGGAG
RNAcentral lists this ribosomal RNA (243 nucleotides) under Triticum aestivum (bread wheat). Its description in RNAcentral is "partial small subunit ribosomal RNA". Lineage: Eukaryota; Viridiplantae; Streptophyta; Magnoliopsida; Poales; Poaceae. The record is from RNAcentral.